UUUGAAACUCCUCAACAGCCUUUGAAAAGAUCGUCUAGUGUAGGUCCUAGUACCAACUUUUCUUCUGGUAUGAAUCCGGGUAGUCCUUCCGGAUCCGACUUGAGUGAUUCGAGUCUUUCGGGGUUUCCCCAGUCUCUUGUUUAUAGACCUGUACCGCGAACCGGCGGGAUUUUCCCUCUUCCUCCUCUAGUUCAACCGAUCGAAACUGCUCCAUUUAUACCCGACCCACCCACUUCUCUUUGCCUCUCACUACCCGGAUCCGGCACCCGUGAAACCUCGAUUCAGACUGCACAACCAACCCAGCUAACUCAGCCUCCUCAAUCACCACCACCUCCUCCUUUGGCUUUGCCGCCGGUUGAUAAACCCGUACCACCACCAACAGCUGUUUUCAUGUCUCAGCUUCCUCAAACUAAGCAAAGUUAUGAUUUUUGUGUACCAGCUUUACCCAAAUCAGGAGAGAAACAGUUUUUUACUCCGGAGUUUUUGGGAGUUCUACAAGAUAUGAUAAGAAAG
This 513-nucleotide long non-coding RNA is filed under the name Nicotiana tabacum (common tobacco). Its description in RNAcentral is "long non-coding RNA (NTAB_LNC004190)". The record is from RNAcentral. Lineage: Eukaryota; Viridiplantae; Streptophyta; Magnoliopsida; Solanales; Solanaceae.